This is an RNA transcript of Synchiropus splendidus (mandarinfish), 4758 nucleotides long. It is a transcript of the gene named probable endonuclease 4, with no coding region annotated. The record is from RefSeq and is a predicted model, not a curated record. Lineage: Eukaryota; Metazoa; Chordata; Actinopteri; Syngnathiformes; Callionymidae. The transcript is spliced from 7 exons.
ACGUUAAGGCUACAUCUUGAGCAUGUCAUUCAAACCAAACCAAACAAGUUUUACGAUUUAACACAACGAUUACAGAGUGCUGGAUCUCGAAAGGCAACAGCAGAAGAAACAUAUUCUCAUGAAUAUUUGGCAGGCGGAACGCUGACUGUUCGUCGACAGCUAACAUCUACAUAGCGAACGUCACGUAGCGCACUAGCUUUUCAACACCGAUUGAGUAAAGUGACUUGAUUUUGUUUGCGGAAUUAUGGAAAUAUAUACACAUAUUGACAUGCUGUGACAUAAAGUGCUGUUUUGUUGUCAUGCAAGUGCUAAUGCUAUAAGGGUUAGCAGUGACAGAAGCUACAAGUAGCAUAGGCCAGACACAAAGCUUCAACGUGCAUUUGUUGUUCAAUGAUAUAAAAAGGAGACAAAUACAAGACCGAACCGAACAUCAUGACUCGUUAAUGUUGUGUACUCACCUCUGGAAUCACAUAUGAAGUAAAGCUAGCGAGCUAGCUUAGCUAAAGUGCUUCAGUGCGAUUUCUUUUAGCUUUUAGAGGCAUUCGUCGAUGCUACAGGAAUAGAAGCGCCUGAGCGAAAGUCAAGUAUAGAAUAUAACGCUACUGGACUGUUGAAAAGUACUAUCGUUGCUCGUCUUCAGUGUGCAGAGUGCAUUUAAUUUCAAAGCGCAGUAGAGUCAGUCAGUUGACGGGCGGCCAUUUUGCAUCUCAGCACGAAGCGUCUCUAGGCAGGCAGCCUGCUGGAAAACGCUCGCUGACUGGCUGCACCACUAAACCAGAUUUUCGGACGGUUACAACUUUGUAUCGAAACUGAGCAACCGCCCACUGAUAAUAACAGUUCUGGACGCACGCUGUAAAGUGUCGUCGACGUGCAUCCCCGAAAUAGUUUUAGUUGUCGGUAUGGCUCCGAGAAAGAGCAACACAAGGAAGAGGGGAAAUACGUUUCCAGGUGAGGUGGACAGCAGCGAGGUUGCGAAGAAGAAGCGAGUGGGAGUCAAGACAUACAUUGGGGCACACGUCAGCAUUCAAGGUGGAAUAUGGAAUGCAGUGCAGUCCAGUCUAAACGUGGGGGGCACCUGCUUUGCUUUGUUUCUGGGCUCCCAGAGGUCCUGGAAGAGACCUGUUUUGGACCAGGAUGCUGCCGACAAGUUUCGAGAAGUGUGUUCACUUCAGGGGUUUGAUCCCGCUCAUAUUCUUCCUCAUGGAUCCUACCUAAUGAACUGUGGUUCCCCUAAAGAAGAUGUGUUUGAGAAGAGUCAGGCACUGCUAGUCGAUGAGCUGAGCCGCUGUAGCCAUCUGGGUCUCAACUUGUACAACUUCCACCCCGGUUCCUCCCUGGGAUCCAUUUCCGUGGAGCAGUGUGUGGACAAGAUUGCCGCAGCUAUAAACCAUGCUCAUAGCCAAAUCCCAGCUGUGGUCACAGUGCUGGAGAACAUGUGCGGUCAGGGGUCAACAGUGGGUGGCAAAUUCUCAGAGCUGAAAAGCAUCAUCGACAAAGUGAGGGACCAGACCAGGAUGGGAGUGUGUUUGGACACUUGUCACGCCUUCGCUGCAGGAUAUGACCUGUCUAAAGAUGGAGGAGUCAAGGAGAUGCUUGAUGAGUUUGAUACAGUAGUGGGGCUCGACUACCUGAAAGCUCUCCAUCUCAAUGACUCCAAAGUCUCUGAAUGUGUGUAUUUGAAGGUAAACUGGGCUGUAAACUGGACCGCCAUGAAGACAUCGGUAAAGGUCACAUAGGAAUAACUGCUUUUCAAGACAUUGUCAAUGAACCGAGACUUCGCAACAUCCCUCUUAUCCUGGAAACACCUGGACGGCCUGGAUUUGGAGAUGCCGAGCAGAUUGAACUUCUUUAUUCACUUUGUAAGGAUUGACUUCAAGUCUGGGAGCAGUUGGCAGCCAGAGUUUAUGUUGUUCAUGACGUCUGUCUCACAUGCAAGGUCCACAACCGGUCACUAGGUGGCAGAAAGCGUAGACGUUUUUGUUGUGCUGUUGCUUUUGUGUGCACGUCUGUCCAGGGACAUGACAAGUUGGAUUACUCUGUCUCGUCUGCUACCACUUUAAUACGUUGAUGAAAUGUUGACUGGGUGAGAUGUCUUUGUCCAUAUUUCUUUGAAUUGAAAUGGGUACUUAUUAUUUUACUCAAGUCACUAGAUUUGUCUGAGAAGAAAAAGAAAAAGAUGAAUAAAUAUAAGUAGCACACACACACACACACACACAUAUAUAUUAUUUUACAGUUUGCUCAACUUCGAACAGAAACCAAAUUCAAAAUGUAAAAGUUGCUUGUCCUUAUGUGUAAAUACAAAUAAUUCUUGCAAGAUCCCACAAAAUAAAUCAAAAAAUCUGGGAGAGUGAGGAGGAUUACAAACAAAGAUAACUCUUACAAUCAGGCAAUGAUGUAAUUUGGCUGUUACAUCUAUUGAAAUGCAUCAGUGAAGCAAUGAAGAGAAAGUUCCUCUCCUUCUCAAACUUUCCCACAACUCUUGGAACACAAGAGUUGAUGCACCACUAAUAACAAAGGAAGAGCUUUGUUUUCUCCGACCUUGCGCGCAAUCCUGUUUGUACAUGAGACAUUUUGAACCAGGAUAAUUCUACAGUAGCAUUCCCCAGAUAAGUAAGUUAAAGUGUAAAGUUGGUCCAGACUGUGUGUCUGUCGGCGGGGUGUUAACAGAGACAGGAAGUGGAGGUGACUGGCCUAAGAAUGUCUGCACGAAUGUCACGCCCACAGGAAAUGCCUGUCCAGGUCGCUGUAGCCGUGAACAAGAAGGUUAUGAUGAAUGAAUAAGGACGAACACGCAGUUGGGGUUUAGAUAAGCUGAUGCGUGAUGGUUUUCAGAGGGGUUUUGGUGAGCCGGUUGGGUCAGGGCGCAACUUGCCAGAGCUGUUGGAGACUAAACAAUGAAUAAACAUUCCUGAGUGCCAAAUUUAUCAUUUUCUAGGAAGGCAUGCAUGAGAAAAUACUGAUGGGAAAAUUCUUAAUUCUUCAAGAACCCCAAAACGUGAGGAAUGCGCUUGCUUAAGGGUAAUGCCGGCCCGUGUUUGCCAGCGUUGUUCCCCUCACUCUGUCAUUAUUGGGCUGCAAAUAUUUUCCGCUGCACCCUAAAGCCGCUGAUUUAAUUACACAACAUUGUAAGUACUUCCAGAUAUCUCUGGUUUGACUAUUUCAGUCUUUCAAAUGUGAAGCGUUCUGAGUGAUCGUUUCGCUACAGACACUUUUGACUCUUUUGAGAUUUGAGAUUUUUGAAGCGCAUGCAGGUUCAUGGGAAGAAACUGCUUUUAAUAAAUCGGAUAUUAUGACUUCACAUUUGAAUUUUAAAGUGACCAGACAGAAAGGACUCAUUUCAAUGCGGUUUGUUCUCAACUGUCCCCAUCUAAGUGCAGCCGUGCAUAGCCUGAGGCAAAAGACAGAUAAAAGCUCUGUUCUGCAGAUGUCAAUGGACAUUUCCCACCACUAUAUCAGAGUCACUUGUGAGGUUUACAACAGUGCCACCACAGGUACUCAACAAGCACCCACACUGCCAGAACACAAUCUCCACAUUCUUGAACUACACCCUGGAACGAUAAAUUACUGCUGCUUCAAUGUACAAAUUGUCACCAUUGUACAUCCAUGCUCUCAUCCAUGCCACUAAAAGCGUCGCUAUCUGACUCAAUGUCCACCUCCCUUUCAGCCUUUUCAACUGUUCUUUCCUGAGCCUGACAACGGGAUAGCCAUAGGCCAACGCACCAAACUGCGGGCAUGUUAGGUCUGAUCAUGUCCUCAACAGAAGUUGUGUCUGAAUCUGGUGUUCUGUGUCUGUCUAGUCAGAUUUCAGUUAAUUUUCUUGAAGAGUUAGAUAAGGAUUGUGCAUGCAGUGGGAGGAAAAUGCAAAAGACGUGAAUGUGUGGCUCUGCUCUGCCAAUGUGGCUUCGACUGCAGUCUGGAUCCAAAUGUAUCCACCGCUCUCUUGCCACAGUCUGACUGCUGCAUCUGCCAGCAGCUCUGAGUGGAACCCACAUGUGCACACACACACACACGCUUCCACAAGCCUCAACAUUGACUGAUCUAAAGGGUUUAAAAGAAAUAAGAGCUGAAGGACAGGGUGGAGUUUGUUCUGCUCCCUCAGCAAAUCUUUUAUUUUUGCACCUCAGCUGCAGUGAAGGCAUCGUAACUUCUAAUCCAAAAUGUGGUCCAGCGGGGACAAUGGAGAAUGAGCACUUACAUGCUGAGUGCAUUUUAAGAGAUAGUGCCUUGGUCAAGUUGUGUGGGUGUUUAUGUGCAAGGGAUGCUGAAGUCUAAAAAAUAAAAUCUAUAAUAAGGUAAUAGCAAAAAUGGUAGUGAAAGUGUCGUAAUAAAGAUGGGUCUUUCAGUAAUACCUCAUUUUAUCCGGGGGGGGUAGUUGCUUCCCCCACACUAGGAGGCACACCAUAAUCAAGUGAGCAAAGAAAGGAAGAAUGCAAAAGAUAAAAAAAAAUUAUGGGAGAGAAUUAAAUGAGUCACAGACGACUCUCCUUUGCCUGUCUCCACAAGUAACUGGCCUGCUGUAUUCUCCUACAUACACAUACUCAAAUCAACAUUAUUUUAAGAGGCCAGUAGACUGCAUAUGAGUUAUCAAAUUUUGGCUGAUAAACACAAAAAUUGUAAUAAAAAUGCCCUAAAACACAUGGAAAAAAUGAUAUCUUGGCAGGUGACGUUGUCAGGUUUCCAACAAAAGAAAACGCGUUUUAGUUUGAAUUCCUAUUUUGUGGCGACCGUUCAUUGCCAUCAUGCUUUGCCCAGUCUCUC